UUAUUAAUAUUUUUAAAUAUAUAACUCUUAUAUAUUAUUAAUAUAUGUUUAUUAUAAUUUUAAAUAUAUUUAAUCUAUAUAUAUAAAAAUUAUAAUAAUAAUAUAUAUAGUAUAUUAAUUAUUAUAUAUUUAUUAUAUUUAUUAAUUAUAUUUAAUUGAUAUUUGAAGGGCAAAUAAGAAAAGUAUUUAUUAUAUGAAGGGUAUAUAAAAAAAGUUAGUUAUAAUACGAGGGUAUAUACGAAUGGGCAAAAUGGUAAUUUUUCAGAGAUAACGGCAACCGUUAACCUCUCACUAACGGAAUUUAACUCUAGGGGUAUAUUAGAAAGAACUUGGAACAUAAGAAGGGUAUUUUCAAUAUUAGCCUUCUAAGAGGGGUAAAUAAGAAAACUGGAAACUUUUUAGGAGUAUAUAAGCAAUUGCCCCUAUUCUUAUAUACUUCUGAUUUACUACCAUUGGUAAUGCAAAGAGUAACUUGUUGAUGCACAUACUUCAAAAAUAUCUAUGAAUUU
This 509-nucleotide long non-coding RNA is filed under the name Ananas comosus (pineapple). Its description in RNAcentral is "long non-coding RNA (ACOM_LNC012234)". The record is from RNAcentral. Lineage: Eukaryota; Viridiplantae; Streptophyta; Magnoliopsida; Poales; Bromeliaceae.